GGGUUGUGAGGUUAAGCGACUAAGCGUACACGGUGGAUGCCCUGGCAGUCAGAGGCGAUGAAGGACGUGCUAAUCUGCGAUAAGCGCCGGUAAGGUGAUAUGAACCGUUAUAACCGGCGAUUUCCGAAUGGGGAAACCCAGUGUGAUUCGUCACACUAUCAUUAACUG
This 168-nucleotide ribosomal RNA is filed under the name Salmonella enterica. Its description in RNAcentral is "partial 23S ribosomal RNA". It matches the Rfam family "Bacterial large subunit ribosomal RNA", at positions 1 to 160 of the family's 2925-position model. Lineage: Bacteria; Pseudomonadati; Pseudomonadota; Gammaproteobacteria; Enterobacterales; Enterobacteriaceae. The record is from RNAcentral. RNAcentral also lists the same sequence under 2 other names.